Molecule: transfer RNA, 58 nt
Filed under: Salmo salar (Atlantic salmon)
Lineage: Eukaryota; Metazoa; Chordata; Actinopteri; Salmoniformes; Salmonidae
Also listed under: 1 other name
Rfam family: tRNA
About the family: Transfer RNA (tRNA) molecules are approximately 80 nucleotides in length. Their secondary structure includes four short double-helical elements and three loops (D, anti-codon, and T loops).
Source: Rfam by way of RNAcentral
UAGCUCAGUUGGUAGAGCAUGGUGAUUGCAAUGCCAGGGUUGUGGGUUCGAUUCCCAC